RNAcentral lists this small RNA (150 nucleotides) under Gopherus agassizii (Agassiz's desert tortoise). RNAcentral's name for it is "TUC338 (ENSGAGG00000014251.1)". The record is from RNAcentral. Lineage: Eukaryota; Metazoa; Chordata; Testudines; Testudinidae.
UUGACAGCCUUGGAGACCGAAGUCCUGCAUUUAACCACAGAACAGGUACAACAAACUACUGGUGACAAGUUUGUCCACGCCUAAUAUCUUGAUAUGGAAAGUAUUCCAAAGAGGAGUUCUGUACCCAUCGCCUUGCCGGCUAACAAAAUU